Molecule: non-coding RNA, 326 nt
Organism: Poecilia reticulata (guppy)
Lineage: Eukaryota; Metazoa; Chordata; Actinopteri; Cyprinodontiformes; Poeciliidae
Source: RefSeq, a predicted model, not a curated record
CCGUUUUCUGCUUGAGUGUCUUCGCACUUGUAGGAUUACAGCUGUUUAUGGGACACCUGAGGAAUAAGUGCAUAAAAACAUCAAACUAUACAAAUAUAUUCAAUGAGAGCUACAUAAAUGACACAGGUAAUCAAUAUUUCCUUCCAGGGAAAAAAGAUGCAUUGCUUUGUGGAAACAGCAGCUCUGCUGGGCAGUGUCCAGAGGGGUAUACAUGUUUAAAAGGUGGAAGAAACCCAGACUAUGGUUACACAAGUUUUGACAACUUUGGUUGGGCCUUCCUUUCUCUGUUUAGGCUGAUGACACAGGAUUACUGGGAAUAUCUUUAU